Molecule: unclassified non-coding RNA, 149 nt
Organism: Pongo abelii (Sumatran orangutan)
Lineage: Eukaryota; Metazoa; Chordata; Mammalia; Primates; Hominidae
Rfam family: Metazoan signal recognition particle RNA
About the family: The signal recognition particle (SRP) is a universally conserved ribonucleoprotein. It is involved in the co-translational targeting of proteins to membranes. The eukaryotic SRP consists of a 300-nucleotide 7S RNA and six proteins: SRPs 72, 68, 54, 19, 14, and 9.
Source: Ensembl
GCUGGGCGUGGUGGUGCACGCCUAUAGUCCCAGCUACUCAGGAGGCUGAGACAGGAGGAUCACCUGAGCCCAGGGAGGUCAAGGCUGCAGUGAGCUGUGAUUGCGCCACUGCACUCCAGCCUGGGCAACAGAGUGAAACCCUGUCUCAA